AGAUUUUGAUCCUGGCUCAGAUUGAACGCUGGCGGCAUGCCUUACACAUGCAAGUCGAACGGCAGCAUGAUCUAGCUUGCUAGAUUGAUGGCGAGUGGCGAACGGGUGAGUAAUACAUCGGAACGUGCCCUGUAGUGGGGGAUAACUAGUCGAAAGAUUAGCUAAUACCGCAUACGACCUGAGGGUGAAAGUGGGGGACCGCAAGGCCUCAUGCUAUAGGAGCGGCCGAUGUCUGAUUAGCUAGUUGGUGGGGUAAAGGCCCACCAAGGCGACGAUCAGUAGCUGGUCUGAGAGGACGAUCAGCCACACUGGGACUGAGACACGGCCCAGACUCCUACGGGAGGCAGCAGUGGGGAAUUUUGGACAAUGGGCGAAAGCCUGAUCCAGCAAUGCCGCGUGUGUGAAGAAGGCCUUCGGGUUGUAAAGCACUUUUGUCCGGAAAGAAAUGGCUCUGGUUAAUACCUGGGGUCGAUGACGGUACCGGAAGAAUAAGGACCGGCUAACUACGUGCCAGCAGCCGCGGUAAUACGUAGGGUCCAAGCGUUAAUCGGAAUUACUGGGCGUAAAGCGUGCGCAGGCGGUUGUGCAAGACCGAUGUGAAAUCCCCGAGCUUAACUUGGGAAUUGCAUUGGUGACUGCACGGCUAGAGUGUGUCAGAGGGGGGUAGAAUUCCACGUGUAGCAGUGAAAUGCGUAGAGAUGUGGAGGAAUACCGAUGGCGAAGGCAGCCCCUGGGAUAACACUGACGCUCAUGCACGAAAGCGUGGGGAGCAAACAGGAUUAGAUCCCUGGUAGUCACGCCCUAAACGAUGUCAACUAGUUGGUGGGGAUUCAUUUCCUUAGUAACGUAGCUAACGCGUGAAGUUGACCGCCUGGGGAGUCCGUCGCAAGAUUAAAACUCAAAGGAAUUGCCGGGGACCCGCACAAGCCGNGGAUGAUGUGGAUUAAUUCGAUGCAACGCGAAAAACCUUACCUACCCUUGACAUGCCACUAUUUCCGCAACGAGCGCAACCCUUGUCUCUAGUUGCUACGAAAGGGCACUCUAGAGAGACUGCCGGUGACAAACCGGAGGAAGGUGGGGAUGACCGUCAAGUCCUCAUGGCCCUUAUGGGUAGGGCUUCACACGUCAUACAAUGGUGCAUACAGAGGGUUGCCAAGCCGCGAGGUGGAGCUAAUCCCAGAAAAUGCAUCGUAGUCCGGAUCGUAGUCUGCAACUCGACUACGUGAAGCUGGAAUCGCUAGUAAUCGCGGAUCAGCAUGCCGCGGUGAAUACGUUCCCGGGUCUUGUACACACCGCCCGUCACACCAUGGGAGUGGGCUUUACCAGAAGUAGUUAGCCUAACCGCAAGGAGGGCGAUUACCACGGUAGGGUUCAUGACUGGGGUGAAGUCGUAACAAGGUAACC
This 1404-nucleotide ribosomal RNA is filed under the name Ralstonia sp. 13H. RNAcentral describes it as "partial 16S ribosomal RNA". It matches the Rfam family "Bacterial small subunit ribosomal RNA". Lineage: Bacteria; Pseudomonadati; Pseudomonadota; Betaproteobacteria; Burkholderiales; Burkholderiaceae. The record is from RNAcentral.